UACGUAGGGCGCAAGCGUUGUCCGGAAUUAUUGGGCGUAAAGAGCUCGUAGGCGGCCAGUUGCGUCUGCUGUGAAAUCCCGGGGCUCAACCCCGGGCGUGCAGUGGAUACGGGCUGGCUAGAGGCAGGCAGGGGAGAACGGAAUUCCCGGUGUAGCGGUGAAAUGCGCAGAUAUCAGGAGGAACACCGGUGGCGAAGGCGGGUCUCUGGGCCGUUACUGACGCUGAGGAGCGAAAGCGUGGGGAGCGAACAGG
This 253-nucleotide ribosomal RNA is filed under the name uncultured bacterium. RNAcentral's name for it is "partial 16S ribosomal RNA". It matches the Rfam family "Bacterial small subunit ribosomal RNA", at positions 524 to 776 of the family's 1533-position model. The record is from RNAcentral.